AACGCUGGCGGCAUGCCUAAUACAUGCAAGUCGAACGAGAUCUUCGGAUCUAGUGGCGCACGGGUGCGUAACGCGUGGGAAUCUGCCCUUGGGUUCGGAAUAACAGUUGGAAACGACUGCUAAUACCGGAUGAUGACGUAAGUCCAAAGAUUUAUCGCCCAGGGAUGAGCCCGCGUAGGAUUAGCUAGUUGGUGGGGUAAAGGCCUACCAAGGCGACGAUCCUUAGCUGGUCUGAGAGGAUGAUCAGCCACACUGGGACUGAGACACGGCCCAGACUCCUACGGGAGGCAGCAGUAGGGAAUAUUGGACAAUGGGGGCAACCCUGAUCCAGCAAUGCCGCGUGAGUGAUGAAGGCCUUAGGGUUGUAAAGCUCUUUUACCAGAGAUGAUAAUGACAGUAUCUGGGGAAUAAGCCCCGGCUAACUCCGUGCCAGCAGCCGCGGUAAUACGGAGGGGGCUAGCGUUGUUCGGAAUUACUGGGCGUAAAGCGCACGUAGGCGGCGAUUUAAGUCAGAGGUGAAAGCCCGGGGCUCAACCCCGGAACUGCCUUUGAGACUGGAUUGCUUGAAUCCGGGAGAGGUGAGUGGAAUUCC
RNAcentral lists this ribosomal RNA (592 nucleotides) under uncultured Alphaproteobacteria bacterium. RNAcentral describes it as "bacterial SSU rRNA". It matches the Rfam family "Bacterial small subunit ribosomal RNA", at positions 32 to 670 of the family's 1533-position model. Lineage: Bacteria; Pseudomonadati; Pseudomonadota; Alphaproteobacteria. The record is from RNAcentral.